This is a long non-coding RNA of Taeniopygia guttata (zebra finch), 2416 nucleotides long. RefSeq lists it as uncharacterized. The record is from RefSeq and is a predicted model, not a curated record. NCBI's taxonomy places the organism in Eukaryota, Metazoa, Chordata, Aves, Passeriformes, Estrildidae.
CAAAAUUAUUCUCUCAACUGUUUGCAGAUGUGAGGAUAAGGGCUUACAGAGUCACAGACACUAAAUGCUCUCCUGGGAUCCAGGAAAAUAUAGGAACAUAGCUGGAUCCAGGCUGGAUAUUUUCUUUGGUCAGAGGAAAUAAUUGUCACACCAUGGGGCUAGAAUUACUCAUUAGAACUAACAAGAGACAACGGCCCUGUUGGCUUCCCUACCAAGUACACAUAUAAUGGAGAACUGCUCCUUCCUCUCUAUCACCACAGGAUGUGGUUUGAGAUAUUCAGUUUUAAUCUUACUCUGAUGCAUGAAGUUAGUACAAAUUCUGCCCUCAGCCCUCUCAAGUAUUAACAACACUAAUGAAAUUACUCAGGGGCUGUCAUUUUUCAUCCUGAUAUUCUUAUGUUGCUGAUCUGCAUUGCAGUACUUUUCUUUGCUCCCAAUGACUCAAGCUAUGCUUUGUAGUUCUAAGACUAUUCAGGAAUGACCUGAAGGCUCAAUCAAACCAGAAUCAGCAGGGUACUGACCUUUACACCCUGGGAAAAGGAGAAGCUGAAAUUAAUCUUCAAAACAAGUUUCCUUCUUUAACACAGAGAACCAGUGGGGAAAUUAUUUGUGGUUGUUAAGGGAGCUUAGUUAACUCUAACCAGAGCUCUCUUCUGAGCACAUCCUCAGCAUAGCAAGCCAUGAACUUGGAAGUCAGUUUAAGAGAACUUCAGCAGGAACCAGCACUCACAGAAAGCUGAUUUCAAGACUACUGACAGACACACAAGACCACAGUAAUCAGUUCAAAUAGUAUAAAACAAGACUGAUAAAAAUCGUUCAAGGGUGGGAAAUGGUUAUUCUAGAUGGGUCAUGGAGACUUUCCUACUCCAGUUUCAUAAGCCUCCCAUUUCCAAGAGUGCAAGAGUGAUGAUGGAGCUGUGCUGUUCCCAUUUUCUGGGCAAGGAAGCAGUAGUUACUGAACCUGGAAAAAGAAUGUAACUUUUGACUUCAGCAUCACUUCAGUCAUGUAUCUUCAUUCUCAUAUCUAGUCCUUCUGAUUUUGCAAGGAUCUAUGAUGCAAGAGGCCCUAGAAAAGCUAAUAGCUGAUGCAGAAUUUGCCCAUUAGACCUCAGAAUUUUUGUAGCACAUUUUUUGUAUGCAGCACAUCAAUUGAAGAAUAGAAAAUAAAUUAAGAAUGUGCUCAAGAAUAGGAUUGACAGUGAGAAUAGGCUACAGUGGGAUGUAAAAAGGAAAAAGAAUAAAAUGACUGGAGAACUAAGGGAAAAAUGACAAAUAAAUCCAUUAGAGGAGGUCACAUGCCUGAACACUGGAGCUUUCCCAGGAUUUUUAUUCAAAUAAUUAGAGAAACUCCCCAAAGCAGAGAGAGGGAGAAACUUCUCAGUAAAGAAGUUUCUGUAGUACAUGCCAAAGUGCACACAGUCCUGCCAUUGUUCAGCACAUUGUGUGCCCUGCUGUGCUUUAUGCCAGAAUGCUGUGAAGAAAAUAUUUAUCUCUCUUUCAGAAACACUCAUCCACUGUUUGGCACUAACAUACUCUGCCUUGAUUUUAUCAUAGGUCCUCUACACAGGAGAUUUUGGUUUUGCCCAGACACCUACUAUCAGCCCCCCUCACCAUCUCAUAAACACAUCUCUGAAGACUGAAAUAGCUGUGGUAGAAUCAGCUCUGCAGACAUCCUGGAGUACUCAUGGUCAAAAGACAGCAGAAAUCAUGUGAUGGCCAAGCAGAUCUUUCUGCAGGGGGACCACGCCUAGCAAAUGGAUUACUGCUCCCAGUCAGAGUACACACUCCCCAUGCUUAGCCCAGCUGAUCUCUGAGUUUCUGACCAGAAGAUUUUAAAUACUGGGUGGAACAUGAGCCAAGAAGUAGUUUGACACCUCACAACAAAAGCAGCAAAGUAAUAAAGUAUUUUAACUAUAACUUAUUCAUCGCUAACAAUAUUUUUUUAUUUACAAGGUAACCUGAAAGUAGAGGAACUUGCUGUGUUACCUAAAAAAGCAGAAAGGAAAAGAUAUUACCACAUUAUAUCUUCUAUCUGUUUAGACAUAGAAGGACAUCUUCACAUGACAUUUAGAACCAAUAUGAUAUCUGUUUGUCCAAAGUAGGCCAUGGAAUUCUGCAGCCCAUUCCUCAGGCGCAUCUUGCUGAGAGUGCCUGAGCUGCAGGACACCACUCCAAAGGUGACCUACUGUGAAAUCUGUAUCCAAAUGAAUACAAAAAGUAUUUGUUUAUUAAAAUAUGUUGUAGCAGUUUUCAAAAAGUGACCUAGGGAGAAUUACAGCAGUAGAAAAAUUAUUUGUUUUAGUUACUGCUCAGUUUGGUAUAUUAUGCAUCAACCUAGGGCUUCUUUUGCCAAGGAUUUUAAAUUGUUUUAGAGAAAAAUGGAAUGAAUAAAAUAAUAUCUAUUACCUAUACCGAA